UAUCUUUUCACAAAAUAAUAAGAUAAUAAUAAUAAUAAUAAUAAUAAUUACAAUUUAAGAUUGAUGUCAAAUUACAUGACAGAAAGCUAAUAGCAUCACUGCAAAACAUUAGAACAAUAUUUGCGAACACAAAGAACUGAUACCUUCUUACUGGUAUUAAGCUCUCAGCAAAUUCUGCUCUCUACUCUUCUACACUAUCACCAUCAGCAGCUUCCUCUGCAAAUUCCUCUGCUUCAAGUUUCAAGUCUUAGAACCCCAUAAAUAAGCCUGCAGUUGCUUCUGUUUCCUCUACAAUCACUAGCAAAACCAAGGCAGCAGCUGUUGAAGCAGUGAAGGCAACUAAAGAAGAAAAUUCUUCCGGCACAGUUCUUCUCCCUGACAUGAAAAAAAUAGAAGAAAGGAUAUAACACAAUCUUUUCAUAUUAAUUUUAAUAGACUAGUGAUUAUUAUUGCUAAGCAUUAAAAAUACUGAAUAAAAAGUAAAUACCAUUUUAAAAAGUGGCUACUCCACACAAUUUUUACAUGAUAAAUAGGACGAAGCCCAAAGAGUACAAAAGCCCAUCUAAAAAAUAUAAAGAACAAAACCCAAAUUACAAAACAAAAUAAAUGCUCCUAGUCUAACACACACACACAGAGAAGAUAAUAAAUAAAUAAAUGAAAGAAGAAGAAGAAGAUUGGAAGCUGCAAUAGCCCGGUUUGACUGAGCAAUCAUGCAGUUAGUAGAAAAAAUGGAAACUGAAGUGCAAAUUUUGUUAAAUGGAAUUUACCUAUUUAUGUAUUACUAUUUGAC
This 790-nucleotide long non-coding RNA is filed under the name Nicotiana tabacum (common tobacco). RNAcentral describes it as "long non-coding RNA (NTAB_LNC007365)". The record is from RNAcentral. Lineage: Eukaryota; Viridiplantae; Streptophyta; Magnoliopsida; Solanales; Solanaceae.